Caenorhabditis elegans is the source of this 135-nucleotide non-coding RNA. The record is from Ensembl. Lineage: Eukaryota; Metazoa; Nematoda; Chromadorea; Rhabditida; Rhabditidae.
CUUUCCUGGCCAACAAAAAAGUUCCUGUGACGACAUCGUCUCGGAUGGGUGUGAAAAAGAAACGGAAGUGCUUAGCAACCAUGCGUCUUUUGCCGAUAAAAGAUGCAACGGCGACUAAAAACAACAAAAAAGUGA